GACGAACGCUGGCGGCGUGCUUAACACAUGCAAGUCGAACGAAGUGGCGAACGGGUGAGUAACGCGUAAUCAACCUGCCCUUCUGCGGGGGACAACAGUUGGAAACGACUGCUAAUACCGCAUACUGUAGGAGGGGAUUGCGUCUGAUUGGCUAGUUGGAGGGGGAACGGCCCACCAAGGCGAUGAUCAGUAGGCGGUCCGAGAGGAUGAACGGCCACAUUGGGGCUGGGACAAGGCCCAGACUCCUAAGGGAGGCAGGAGUGGGGAAUCUUUCGGAAUGGACGAAAGUCUGACGGAGCAACGCCGGGUGAGGGAUGACGGGCUUCGGGUUGUAAAGCUCUGUUAGUCGGGACGCGGUACCGGAAUAGAAAGCCACGGCUAACUACGUGCCAGCAGCCGCGGUAAUAC
RNAcentral lists this ribosomal RNA (408 nucleotides) under uncultured bacterium. Its description in RNAcentral is "partial 16S ribosomal RNA". It matches the Rfam family "Bacterial small subunit ribosomal RNA", at positions 28 to 526 of the family's 1533-position model. The record is from RNAcentral.